UGGGGAAUAUUGCACAAUGGGGGAAACCCUGAUGCAGCGACGCCGCGUGAGUGAAGAAGUAUUUCGGUAUGUAAAGCUCUGUCAGCAGGGAAGAAAAUGACGGUACCUGACCAAGAAGCCCCGGCUAACUACGUGCCAGCAGCCGCGGUAAUACGUAGGGGCAAGCGUUAUCCGGAUUUACUGGGUGUAAAGGGAGCGUAGACGGCUGGGCAAGUCUGAAGUGAAAGCCCGGGGCCAACCCCGGGACUGCUUUGGAAACUGUCUGGCUGGAGUGCAGGAGAGGUAAGCGGAAUUCCUAGUGUAGCGGUGAAAUGCGUAGAUAUUAGGAGGAACACCAGUGGCGAAGGCGGCUUACUGGACUGUCACUGACGUUGAGGCUCGAAAGCGUGGGGAGCAAACAGGAUUAGAUACCCUGGUAGU
This 420-nucleotide ribosomal RNA is filed under the name uncultured Clostridium sp. RNAcentral describes it as "bacterial SSU rRNA". It matches the Rfam family "Bacterial small subunit ribosomal RNA", at positions 355 to 794 of the family's 1533-position model. Lineage: Bacteria; Bacillati; Bacillota; Clostridia; Eubacteriales; Clostridiaceae. The record is from RNAcentral.